RNAcentral lists this unclassified non-coding RNA (342 nucleotides) under uncultured Mycena. Its description in RNAcentral is "sequence contains ITS1". The stretch from base 1 to 105 matches the Rfam family "5.8S ribosomal RNA", at positions 50 to 154 of the family's 154-position model. The record is from RNAcentral. Lineage: Eukaryota; Fungi; Basidiomycota; Agaricomycetes; Agaricales; Tricholomataceae.
GAAAUGCGAUAAGUAAUGUGAAUUGCAGAUUUCAGUGAAUCAUCGAAUCUUUGAACGCACCUUGCACUCCUUGGUAUUCCGAGGAGUAUGCCUGUUUGAGUGUCAUUAAAUUCUCAAACCUCACAAGUUGUUUGACUUGUCCGAGGCUUUGGAUGUGGGUGUUGCUGGCUUUCACGAGUCAGCUCUCCUAAAAUGCAUUAGUGGUUACUGUUCACUACAUCCUGGUGUGAUAAUAUCUACGCCUAGUAGUGAUGUUAAGUGUAGCUGCUUCAAACCGUCCAUGAACUUGGACAACUUGAACCAUUUGACCUCAAAUCAGGUAGGACUACCCGCUGAACUUAA